RNAcentral lists this ribosomal RNA (508 nucleotides) under Nesterenkonia sp. RNAcentral describes it as "bacterial SSU rRNA". It matches the Rfam family "Bacterial small subunit ribosomal RNA", at positions 76 to 593 of the family's 1533-position model. Lineage: Bacteria; Bacillati; Actinomycetota; Actinomycetes; Micrococcales; Micrococcaceae. The record is from RNAcentral.
GUGCUUGCACCGGGUGGAUUAGUGGCGAACGGGUGAGUAUCACGUGAGUAACCUGCCCUUGACUCUGGGAUAAGCCUGGGAAACUGGGUCUAAUACCGGAUAUGACCAGUCCUCGCAUGGGGUGCUGGUGGAAAGAUUUUAUCGGUCUUGGAUGGACUCGCGGCCUAUCAGUUUGUUGGUGAGGUAAUGGCUCACCAAGGCGAUGACGGGUAGCCGGCCUGAGAGGGUGACCGGCCACACUGGGACUGAGACACGGCCCAGACUCCUACGGGAGGCAGCAGUGGGGAAUAUUGCACAAUGGGCGCAAGCCUGAUGCAGCGACGCCGCGUGCGGGAUGACGGCCUUCGGGUUGUAAACCGCUUUCAGCAGGGAAGAAGCUUUUUGUGACGGUACCUGCAGAAGAAGCGCCGGCUAACUACGUGCCAGCAGCCGCGGUAAUACGUAGGGCGCGAGCGUUAUCCGGAAUUAUUGGGCGUAAAGGGCUCGCAGGCGGUUUGCCACGUCUGCU